This 116-nucleotide ribosomal RNA is filed under the name Pteropus alecto (black flying fox). Lineage: Eukaryota; Metazoa; Chordata; Mammalia; Chiroptera; Pteropodidae. The record is from RNAcentral.
GUGUAUGGCCACGCCACCCUGAACAAACCCAAUGUCUGAUCUCGGAAGCUAAGAAGGGUCGCCCCUGGUUAGUACUUCGAUGGGAGACCACGUAGGAAGACUAGGUGCUGUGGGCA